Molecule: long non-coding RNA, 2775 nt
Filed under: Homo sapiens (human)
Lineage: Eukaryota; Metazoa; Chordata; Mammalia; Primates; Hominidae
Description: HSALNT0387133
Source: RNAcentral
UUGGCCUCCCAAAGUGCUGGGAUUACAGGCAUGAGCCACCAUGCCCGGCCCAAUCAAGUUUUUAAUUCUCUAAAUAACAUUAGGAUUUGUGCUAGAACCUUUAAAAUAUUACUCAAACGAGGGCAGCAGGGAUUGGGGAUAGGAUUUCUAUUAUUUGUGCUACCUGACUAAUUCUGGAGACUUGGACCCAGACUUUGGUGGGUUGAAUCCAAAGGUGCAGGGACUUUGUGUUCCCCAAGAGGGCAGGCAGCAGAGCCCAUGUGUUCUUUAACUAACUGUGUCUUUGUGUUUGCAAUGGCAAUGGGAAAGAGGGAAAAAUUAUAAUAAUUCUUACAAUGAUUAUGUGCUGGGAUCUUUGGCUGGAAUGAUCCCUUGGAAUGAAAAGCUGAUACUAUCAUGCCUUUGCUUACAUCCCUUCAGUGGCUUGUUUUCUUUGGAGCCUGUAAAAUCAAAGUCCAAAUCCUUCCUGUGACUUAGAGUCGCCGCAGUCUGUCUCUUGUCCUCCCUACUCUAGUGUACCCAUAUUGUCCACGGAUCUCGGAAUAUGUCAUGCCUUCUCUAGUCUCAGGGUCUUUGCACAGGAAGUUCCCAUGUUAUAAAAUGCUUUUCCCCCUUCUUUUCACCUUUAUAACCUCUACUUAUCUUCCUGUUUUAUGCUAAAGUCUCUGUCAGAGAAGGCUUUCUCAAAUCCUCCAAACAAGUCAGGUCAUUUCCCCCUGUAUUUCUACGAUGCCCAUUCUCAGAGCUGAUGGCAAUCAGUAAAACUGUGUCCCUCACUGUAUGCUUACCAGUUAAAACAUUGAAGACAAUACUUUUGUAAUUGUUGAUGAUUUAUUACUGCUCUGAGCCCCCAGUGCCAAGCCCUGACCACACGGACCCUCUUUGGAACAUUCCCUUUUGCCCAUUCCCCAUUACUCCAAAAUCAAGCAACUAAAAGUUUAUUCUCUGGCACCAUAGUGGACUUUCAGACCCCUGAUCUGAGGUUACAGCCAAAAUCCAUUCUGAUUGGCCCAUAUAAUCCCUGCUCAUAUUUCUGCCUUAUGAUUAUUUGUCUCAUAAUCAUGUUAUCGAGCAGUGAUUAUUUGUGUUUUUGGUAACAUUCUAAAAUCCAGAAAGCAGGGGCGAGUUUUAGAGUAUAGUGGACCUGCAACCUGAAAUACUCAAUAUGCACUUCUGUUAACUGCUUGUGUUAUUUAAUCCUCACAACUCCAUGAGGUAAAAGUUGUCCAGCCUUUCUAUUUUACAACUGAGGCUUCAAAAGAUAAAAGAGAUCCAUGCUGAAGGGAGAGGAAAAGAAGAAGACCCCAAGGACCACAGGCCUGGGCCUGUGUUAUCCCAAUGCCAUCAUCUCAGGAUACGAUGGGAGCUGCUAGGUGUAGAGAUGGCUCUUCUUUGAAGAAACCCCCAUGAAAUGGUUUCAGGGGAGGUCACUGUGGUUAUAUCCCAGAAGAUUUGCCCUGCAAGUGAAACAGAAGCUUCUCAUGGAGAUGUGGAGGGGGCUGCCCCGCUGUGUCAGAAAGUGGAGACUCUAUGGAACCAACCCCAUUAUACUGAGAUAGGGUUGAGGCUGCUGAUGGGUCUUUACCUAUUGUAGCUUCCAUUUGUAUGGUAGGCAGCCGCUAAGAUGGCCCCAGAUAUCACUGCCUUGUGAUAGUCCUGUCUUUGUGUAAUCCACUCCCCAUGAGUGUGGGCUGGAUCUACUGGCUCUCUUCUGCUAAACAGAUGAUCGAAAAAGUGAUGAAAUGUCACUUCUAAAAUUAGGUUACACAGAGAAUGUGGUUUCUUUUUUGCUCACUCCCUCUUACUCAGGGAAACUAGCUACCUCUUUAUGUACUGCCCUAUGGAGAGGCACACAUGUCAAGAAACUGAGGGAGUGCCUUCCAGUCAACAGCCAGCCAGGAACUAAGGUGCUCAGUACAGCAGCCUCCACAAAGGACUGAACAAUGCCAACAGCUAUUUGACUGUGCUUGGAAGAUCUCCGUUUAGUUAACCCUUCAGAUGAGACCGCAGCCCUGGCCAGCAAACAAAUUGCAGCCUAUGGAAAGACCUUAAGGCAGAAGCACCCAACUGAACCACCCGAGGGCUCUGACUUACAGAAACUGUGAGCAUAUAGUGAAAUGGCCUCUACCUUAUUUUGAAUGGAUUUCUGGGAUAAAGUUCUUCAGUGAUAACAUGUUUGAAGUUUCAGGAAAGAGGCACUGGCCUUUACUUCUCCACCUCGAUUCACUUCCAUGCUGUUGACAAAUGUUAUAGUUGCCCAGGAUCAGAGGGAGAGACUGACCCUGUGACCAUUUCCCCAAAGGCGGCCUUUGGCCACUCCGUGCACUGGAGCACAUGACCCUCUGCCUCGCCCCUGCCACAUUAACCAGGCGGCUAUCUUAUGUGCCCAUGUUACAUGCUCAUGAUAAAGCUGCAUUUCCUGAGGGGACACCAAUGGAUACACCUCUGCCUGGCACGCAGCUUAGAGGCUAAAUGUAUGAAAAGCAACACCAUGCAAAUCAUUUUGAAACUGCUGUGGAACUCUCACGGGACCCUCCAUUCUAGACAUCCAGUCCCACUAGUGAUCUGACCAUGAAACCUACUAAGAGACUUCCAGAAGAAGAUGACCUCUGAAAGGAGAAAACUUUCUUCCAAGCUUCUGUGGAACAAGAAGAUGCCAUCCCUUUGGUGGAGCCCAAAGGGAAACCAGGACACUGAAGGAAUUAACCAGAAAGAAAAGAAGAGAAGAAGGAGAAGAAAGAAGAAGAAGAAGAAGGAGAAGGAGAAGGAGACGAG